UGCUAUACUUAUAAAGUUGAUUUGUUGCUUUGAAAUCUAUUAGUUUGGGUCAUCGGCAAAGAUCAACCCUUGGUGCUUAGCUUCUUUCACCAAGCAUAUUAGACGCGGUAAAACCGCUAAAGGAGAAAACGAU
This 133-nucleotide non-coding RNA is filed under the name uncultured Streptococcus sp. RNAcentral's name for it is "preQ1-II (pre queuosine) riboswitch". It matches the Rfam family "PreQ1-II (pre queuosine) riboswitch aptamer". Rfam says of the family: Q is a hyper modified nucleoside present in some anticodons in tRNAs (Try, Asn, Asp and His). The record is from RNAcentral. Lineage: Bacteria; Bacillati; Bacillota; Bacilli; Lactobacillales; Streptococcaceae.